Molecule: non-coding RNA, 45 nt
Filed under: Schistosoma curassoni
Lineage: Eukaryota; Metazoa; Platyhelminthes; Trematoda; Strigeidida; Schistosomatidae
Source: RNAcentral
AUCUAGCUAACGAGUCCCAAAUGGGACGGAACGUACGUCCUAGAU